GAGAUUAAAAGCAGCUUAAAUCAUUGCAGCAUGUGAAGUGAAUAUGCAUUUGAUUUUCAGUAAAAUGGGAGAAAAUUAUAAGGAUACGUUUAACAUCUGCACUGUGAGGCGAGACUUCAUUUGUAUCAGAGUCAAAAGAAGCAAAGACACUCAGGAUUCAGCUGUUCCCUCUCAUACAUGCUCUAGGGGUUAUUGUUGACAUCCUCCUGUGAAUUAAUUCGAUUUCGAAGACAGCGUUAGCAUUGAUGAAACUGGGUUAGCAUCGACGUUAGCAUUCAGCAGAGAACAAACGUCAUGAUUACCAAAGCACAAGCUGCAAUUGCUAACCCCAUUUAGAUAUACAAGGGCAGCGCUAACCUCAUUCAGCAGCAUUAUAGCAGCUAACCUUAUUCAAAGUGAACCUCACAUUUUUUAAAACCAUUUAAGCAUCCACACGAAGUUUGCUAAUUGUACUCGGGGGCUUUUUAAAUGAGAACUUUGUGACAAGGUGUUUUUUUUUUAGUUCAAAUUGAUGCAACAAGAUGUUUUUUUCUGUUUCCAAUCCCUCAGAUAAAUUAAUAAUAACAUUUCCUGUAUCUGCAUCUGGUUUUUGUUUUUGUUUUUUUCAUAUCAAGCCAAACCUACAGAAAAGCACAGACACUGAGAACAUAUCAUUACAUUCGAGUACCACACAUACACAGCUUGGUACUUGUCUAUUUCAUUUCCGACUGCUUCAUUUUUUUCCCUGUUUUACUUUCCCACUUUUUAAGUCCCUUAUCUUUUUAUUCUCUUGCACUCUCUUCCCCCCAGUCUUAGCUUCACAUUUUUUACAUUUGAGAUGACUUGGCAUUUGGCCAAAAUGAUUGCUUUUCCCAUUUAAUUCAAGCAGCCUCUGUCUCUUCCUCUCAUGCUCCCCAUCCCAUUCACAUUCUUAGAAAGACAUACGUGCUGUCCAUAGCUAUUUCUGUGGUGCCACAUUAGGAAGUGACUGUAAAAUAUUAACAAACAAGCCCACACAAAACACAUAAUGUGACACCAUCCAUUAGUCCAGGAAAGGAAAUAAAUGAAAGAGAAGCCAGCAGAAGGCAUAUAAAUGAUGAAACCAUUUCUUUUUUUGUUUGAUUAAUACACAGACGUGUUUAUCACAGCAUUCUUGUUCUCCUCUGACAAGUGUUUUGUCAUUUGUUCUUUUAUUUCCUUCUCUACACUGACUCUUAUAAACUCGAGGGGUCUUUGUGUGUUUUGUAAAAUCCCUAAUAGGUAUC
Molecule: long non-coding RNA, 1244 nt
Organism: Astatotilapia calliptera (eastern happy)
Lineage: Eukaryota; Metazoa; Chordata; Actinopteri; Cichliformes; Cichlidae
Source: Ensembl